RNAcentral lists this long non-coding RNA (208 nucleotides) under Mytilus galloprovincialis (Mediterranean mussel). The record is from RNAcentral. Lineage: Eukaryota; Metazoa; Mollusca; Bivalvia; Mytilida; Mytilidae.
UUUUGUAAUGCUGAGAGUGAUUAUCUAAAUAGAAUAAGGCUGAAGGAUGGGUCCAUUGGUUUAAUAUAAUAACUACUUGAACUUUAAUACGCAGUAAAAGAACUGUCAGGUCGAUUUUAAAAGAGAUUAGAUAAUCACAAAUUUCACAAUACAUGAGGAAAAUCAACAUUCAGGACUAGCUGUUGUAAAUAGUUAUCAAAGGUACCAG